GCCGACAAGCUAGCCCACCCUAACAAAAACAACAACCCAAUAUAAAUAACCCCAAACACACAAACUACUCCUAUAAACAAACCAUUUUUCCCCCUUAGUAUGGGCGACAGAAAAGGAACUAUUGGAGCGAUAGAGAAAGUACCGCAAGGGAACGCUGAAAGAGAAGUGAAACAACCCAGUAAAGCCUAAAAAAGCAGAGAUUCUACCUCGUACCUUUUGCAUCAUGA
Molecule: ribosomal RNA, 227 nt
Filed under: Auxis rochei
Lineage: Eukaryota; Metazoa; Chordata; Actinopteri; Scombriformes; Scombridae
Description: partial We noticed some discrepancies
Source: RNAcentral